RNAcentral lists this long non-coding RNA (239 nucleotides) under Trifolium pratense (red clover). RNAcentral's name for it is "long non-coding RNA (TPRA_LNC010632)". Lineage: Eukaryota; Viridiplantae; Streptophyta; Magnoliopsida; Fabales; Fabaceae. The record is from RNAcentral.
CCAUUUGUACAAAUAUAUUGGUUUUAGGGUUUCAAUUUAUGGGAAACAAAUCAAUCAAUUUCCGAGUUCUGGGUUCAAUUGAGUUUUAGGGUUUGAUACGGAUUGAAUCGGUAACAGAGUUUCAAUUGAAUUUUGGAAAUUCUGAGUUCUAGGGUUCAAAGAGGGGACGAUUGAGAGAAAGAAGGUUUCUGAGUUCGACGGAGAGAAGAAUGGAGGGUUGUUUAGGUGAACAUGUUGGG